Molecule: ribosomal RNA, 253 nt
Filed under: uncultured bacterium
Lineage: Bacteria
Description: partial 16S ribosomal RNA
Rfam family: Bacterial small subunit ribosomal RNA
Source: RNAcentral
UACGGAGGGUGCGAGCGUUAUCCGGAAUUACUGGGUUUAAAGGGUGCGUAGGCGGUUGUAUAAGUCAGGGGUGAAAGGAUUCAGCUUAACUGGAUAAUUGCCUUUGAUACUGUAUGACUAGAAUUGAGCUGAGGUUGGCGGAAUGUGACAUGUAGCGGUGAAAUGCAUAGAUAUGUCAUAGAACACCGAUUGCGAAGGCAGCUGACUGGGCUUAAAUUGACGCUGAGGCACGAAAGCGUGGGGAGCGAACAGG